AAAAAAAUAAUUAUUAUAUAUGAAUACUGAAUAGUUGUAAAUUCCUACAUAUUUUUCAGAGAAAAAUGUUUAUCAUAUCAGUUUACAUAACAUUCUUAAUAAGUCGUGUUGUUUGUUUUUCAAUAACUUUAGAUGAAAGUCCACUAUAUAAGGAAGACUUUCAAUCAUUGAAUCACACGACUUACCCAGAAACAAUGGACAUUGACGAUGAUGAUAAUUUUGUAACAACAACAAAAAUAUUUUUGAUAUUUGGAUACAUAAUGUUGUUGAUCAUGAUAGUAUACGCUUAUAAAAGAACUAAUAAGAAUCAUGGAUUAUAAGAUUUUUUCAAGUACUGUUAAGUGUAAAGGACAACAGAAACGAGAAAUAGUCGACGAAAUCGCCCAAAAAUACCUAAGUAUAUUUACAACAAUAUGUUUUAUCAGACGGAAUUAAUUUGAUGCUUAAUUCAUUGACAUGAACAUAAUAUUGAACCUAAAUCAGUAUUACUGUAUUAAAAACAAUAAUUGUUUUUCGUAUGCAUUGUCUUGUUUGUUUGGUGACGCCUAGACCACAUGAUGUAGAACAAGGAGUCCACGGUGACCACGGAGACCAUUCUCCCCAAUCAUUAGU
Molecule: long non-coding RNA, 612 nt
Organism: Aphis gossypii (cotton aphid)
Lineage: Eukaryota; Metazoa; Arthropoda; Insecta; Hemiptera; Aphididae
Exons: 4
Source: RefSeq, a predicted model, not a curated record